Long non-coding RNA from Papaver somniferum (opium poppy), 770 nucleotides. RefSeq lists it as uncharacterized. The record is from RefSeq and is a predicted model, not a curated record. The transcript has 3 exons. Lineage: Eukaryota; Viridiplantae; Streptophyta; Magnoliopsida; Ranunculales; Papaveraceae.
CUCGAGAGGAAGAGACCUAGCAUCAGUUUUUCUUCUCUGAGCAACAUCAGUACCCAAUAAGUCAUGGCGACGUUUGAUUCUUCUUCAAUCAUCACCUCCUUCUGAUCUAAAGUUUCUAUUGCUACCGAUCUGUAAUUUGUCAGGUGAAGAAAGGGGUAAGGAAUAUUACAUUUUGAUUGAGCGAGUACUUUCAAGUGGAUCAUCAAUAGUGGGGCUGACUAUUCUUGGAAUACAAUGCAAUGAUGCUUACAUUUUGAAAUCAAUUGUCUACUGAUGGCUUCAAGUACUCAGGGGCCUUCUAUUCCUGUUAACAAUCCUGAUGAACAACUACCUCGGCUACCGUCGAGAACAUAGCUACAGCUACAAUGACAGCUACACCAUCCCAGGUUGAAGUUUCAAAACCUCCUAAAGCUUCUGGUAAGAAGCAAUCAGAUUGCUGGCAACAUUUUACUAAGCGUCUUGAUCUUAUGCCACCUAAAGCAAUCAGAUUGCUGGCAACAUUUUACUAAGCGUCUUGAUCUUAUGCCACCUAAAGUUGAGUGCAAGCAUUGUAAAACGAAGUUUUCAUGGGGUAAAGAUCAUGGAACAACAAACACGAACAACCAUAUAAAGCAAAGAAGAUGUCCUAACUUCUUUUGUGUUCACUGUUAACUAUUUUCUGUUCAUUGGCUUGGAACCAGACUUGUUGUUUCAUUUGAAUUAGUACUCUUUUGUGUGAACUGUCCUGUACUAAAAUUCUAGUUUGUAAACUUAUAUUUUUGUUUGUCAUA